Molecule: long non-coding RNA, 501 nt
Filed under: Panax ginseng (ginseng)
Lineage: Eukaryota; Viridiplantae; Streptophyta; Magnoliopsida; Apiales; Araliaceae
Description: long non-coding RNA (PGIN_LNC018742)
Source: RNAcentral
UUCAUGGCGGGGCCAGACGAAGAUUGGUUUUCGGUGCGGAUAGGGAGCGAGAUCAUGGUCGAGGGCAAGUGGAAGGCUCACCGACCAGGACUUAUCGUAGAAGUGGUCAGGAAGAUAGAGCCGCUAAGUUGGCGAGGAUGGCGGACGAAGCGGACAAAGCCAUGGAGGUCCUAUUAAAGCAAAGAGAAGAUAUAGCCAAACAGAUGCUUCGGGUGGUGGAAUUACGGGACGAAGCAUCUAGCCACGAUCAGUCCGAAGGUCGAAGUGGGCACAAGGAGGUGCCACGCCGAGAGGGUAAGGAGCCGAAGCAUUCCGCGCAGGUUUCUAAGGAUCGUUCUCACGGUAGGAGAUCGAGGAGCAGAACUCCGUGGUCUCGAAGAAGGCAAUAAUGGCCGUUACCUCUCAGCAUCGAGAUGACUAUAGACAAAGGAGCAUAUCGAGCGAGAUUAUGCCCGUCAGAAUAAGGGACUAUCAACGUGAUCAUUCUCACCAUAAAGACAG